This is a non-coding RNA of Mycobacterium sp. 1245111.1, 75 nucleotides long. NCBI's taxonomy places the organism in Bacteria, Bacillati, Actinomycetota, Actinomycetes, Mycobacteriales, Mycobacteriaceae. The record is from Rfam.
AGCGCCGCAUAAGCGGGCCGACGGUCGACUCCUUCGGCGCCAGGGGCCUUUAGCCCGGGCUCCGGAAAGCUGCGG